RNAcentral lists this transfer RNA (72 nucleotides) under Streptomyces hygroscopicus subsp. jinggangensis TL01. RNAcentral's name for it is "tRNA-Val". The stretch from base 1 to 49 matches the Rfam family "tRNA", at positions 23 to 71 of the family's 71-position model. From Rfam's summary of the family: Transfer RNA (tRNA) molecules are approximately 80 nucleotides in length. Their secondary structure includes four short double-helical elements and three loops (D, anti-codon, and T loops). The record is from RNAcentral. Lineage: Bacteria; Bacillati; Actinomycetota; Actinomycetes; Kitasatosporales; Streptomycetaceae.
GCAACGGCCUGCAAAGCCGUCUACACGGGUUCAAAUCCCGUCUCCACCUCCAAGGACGAUUAGCUCAGCGGG